Molecule: ribosomal RNA, 724 nt
Filed under: uncultured rumen protozoa
Lineage: Eukaryota
Description: bacterial SSU rRNA
Rfam family: Eukaryotic small subunit ribosomal RNA
Source: RNAcentral
AUUGAUGGGUUCCACACCCCUUUCAGUCUUUAAGAGAAUCAGUCUAUCGGGAGUAGUGCAGACUGGACUUAGAUGACGAGGCACACAGGAGUGGAGCUGCGCUAUUGACUCACACGGGAAACUACAGGUCAGACAUAGUAAGGAUGACAGAUUGAUAGCUCUUUCUGAUCUAUGGGUGGUGGUGCAUGGCCCGUUCUUAGUUGGUGGAGUGAUUUGUCUGGUUAAUUCCGAUAACGAACGAGACCUUUAACCUGCUAACUAGUCUAUUACAUUUCAUGUAAUUUGACUUCUUAGAGGGACUAUGUAUAUCAAGUACAUGGAAGUUUGAGGCAAUAACAGGUCUGUGAUGCCCUUAUAUGUCCUGGGCUGCACGCGUGCUACACUGAUGCAUACAACAAGUGCCUAGCUAGACAUAGUAUGGCUUUCGGGAAUAUGCAUCGUGAUGGGGAUAGAUCUUUGCAAUUAUAGAUCUUGAACGAGGAAUUCCUAGUAAGUGCAAGUCAUCAUCUUGCAUUGAUUAUGUCCCUGCCCUUUGUACACACCGCCCGUCGCUCCUACCGAUACCGGGUGAUCCGGUGAACCUUUUGGACCUCGCAAGAGGAAAAAUAAGUAAACCAUAUCACCUAGAGGAAGGAGAAGUCGUAACAAGGUUUCCGUAGGGAACCUGCAGAAAUGCAUAAUCUAGAGCAUCGCGAGAAUAGAGCUCGAAUCACGGCCGCGUACC